AAGGGCCAUUAACCCUUUCUCUGCCGGGCACACUCAGUCCCCACGCCCCACACCUAUUGUCUCCUGUGCUAGAAGCUUUGCAGAAAACCUGGAAAGGGAAAUCCUGAAAUAAAGAAAUGGUCACACAAGUGUCUGGGAUGAAACAGCUGGCCUGUCUAUAUUCAUCCUGAGACACACGACUGCAUAUAAAUACAUGUUUAAUAAAGUAUUUGCCAAGUCCUAAUUGCUGAAUAUAAUGAAUUGGAACUAGAUGCGAAAAUAGAGCAGGACCUCUCCCCUUGAUGAGUUUUUAUUCCAGCCAUAUAAUUCUCAAUAAAACUUUUCCUGGGCUGGAUAGCAAAGGACACCUUUGGUUACCUGAAUGAACAGGUACAGGGGAAAUUAUUUGGGGGAGGGAAAAAGGAGAGAAAAGCAAGGAGAGAGAGUGUGAGUGUAAGAGAAAGCGAAGAAGCCACUCUUGAGAAAAGCUUGCCAUAAAGGAGCUAAACCCACCUGAAAUUCCUACCCACGGACACCCCUUCUCACUUCAGACUCACAUCCCCACUCAAAAUGAGAAAAUUAGAAAAGGAGGAUGGAGGACGAGCACACCAAAAAGGGAUAAAAAGAGAGAAAAGGGGAGGAAAAAAAACCUACCUGCGAAGUCUUGUUUGUAGUUUUGGCCAGAAAUGGUGAGAAGAAAAAGCAUGAAGAAGCCGCGAAGUGUGGGGGAGAAAAAGGUGGAAGCGAAGAAACAGCUCCCGGAGCAAACUGUACAAAAACCUCGCCAAGAGUGUCGGGAGG
RNAcentral lists this long non-coding RNA (780 nucleotides) under Homo sapiens (human). Its description in RNAcentral is "non-protein coding ZEB2-AS1:25". The stretch from base 1 to 94 matches the Rfam family "ZEB2 antisense RNA 1 conserved region 1", at positions 35 to 128 of the family's 128-position model. Lineage: Eukaryota; Metazoa; Chordata; Mammalia; Primates; Hominidae. The record is from RNAcentral.